RNAcentral lists this ribosomal RNA (321 nucleotides) under uncultured bacterium. RNAcentral's name for it is "bacterial SSU rRNA". It matches the Rfam family "Bacterial small subunit ribosomal RNA", at positions 187 to 507 of the family's 1533-position model. The record is from RNAcentral.
GACAUCUGAAAGAGAUUAAAGAUUUAUCGGUGAUGGAUGGGGAUGCGUCUGAUUAGCUUGUUGGCGGGGUAACGGCCCACCAAGGCGACGAUCAGUAGGGGUUCUGAGAGGAAGGUCCCCCACAUUGGAACUGAGACACGGUCCAAACUCCUACGGGAGGCAGCAGUGAGGAAUAUUGGUCAAUGGACGAGAGUCUGAACCAGCCAAGUAGCGUGCAGGAUGACGGCCCUAUGGGUUGUAAACUGCUUUUAUAAGGGAAUAAAGUGGGAGUCGUGACUCUUUUUGCAUGUACCUUAUGAAUAAGGACCGGCUAAUUCCGUG